CUAGAACACCAUACCUUAAACCAUCCCCUCUAAUUAUUACUCUUUUCACAAAAGAUAUUUUUGAAACUCUUCACCUGCAACAAGUUGGGACACAUUUAUAAAGAACUACUUUGUCUUGCCCCAAGAAGAAAAAUCCAACGCCACCCUCCUUUGUCUUCGCUUUCCUAAUUAAGCUAAUUUCUGGCUGCCCUCUAGCCUCUCCGAGCGACCUCUUUUUGAGCACCAAAUACAAAUCCAAGCCUGCCUUUGUCCGUCUCUAAGCACAGUCGACCAAAACAUCACGGAACCCAUCAUCUGCUGCUGUUACCACACGCGAUCACCACCGUAGCCGUCGCCACUGCAGCACCAACGAACGUCCGUGAACCAACCGCAGGAUCUCAUACUCGUUGAGGACAACUCGUAUCUAUAUCGUUUUGCUAAAUUGACUAAAGGAUUUUUUUGAAUUGAACUCGUUGUCGCGUGUUCUGAUGUUAAGGUUCUCAGGGUACUCAGGGCGGGGUGUGAAGAGAGAAGAAUUGAGCUCUAGGACUUUUAAUCAGAGGAAAUUAGUCAUUUUUGUAGCAUAUGCUAGCUUAUCUAUUUUGACCACCCUCUAAUAUGUAAUAAACUUUACCCUAGGGCUCUUGUACAUUCUUUUGGUGAUGUACUCCUAAUGUUUAACUUAUGGAAUUAUGUCUUAUGUUUUGAAUACU
RNAcentral lists this long non-coding RNA (692 nucleotides) under Helianthus annuus (common sunflower). The record is from RNAcentral. Lineage: Eukaryota; Viridiplantae; Streptophyta; Magnoliopsida; Asterales; Asteraceae.